Long non-coding RNA from Rosa rugosa (rugosa rose), 4989 nucleotides. RefSeq lists it as uncharacterized. Lineage: Eukaryota; Viridiplantae; Streptophyta; Magnoliopsida; Rosales; Rosaceae. The record is from RefSeq and is a predicted model, not a curated record. The transcript has 9 exons.
ACAUAACCCACGUUUCAACCUAGACCAAUCCCCUCUCUCUCUUUCUCUGACCUAGAACAGGGCACCGUAGCCGCAUCUAUCUUCCUCAGUCUUCUGCAACAACAGCCGCAUAAAUAUUCUCGGAAAAUCCUUGGUCUCCCAGAACCGCGCUUCAAGUUUCCGCCAUGAAUAUCAACCUUCUUUUCAUCUCUCUGUUUCUUCAGAGGGUCGAAAGAUUUGAUGGGGGAGUGCAGUGUUGGAGGCUUGAUCCUGGUUGAUGUAGAUUUCACAGAUCCAUGAAUAUGGAAGUGAUUCAGAGAAACUCACUGCUAUGUUUUGUGGAGAAUUCAAAGGAUUCCUUCUUUCUCUGUCCUUUCCUGCAAAUGGUAGAUUGGUCUUUCUUUGUUGUUAAUCUCUCUGUUUUUUUUUGGCUUCAAUUUGAGGUUGGCUCUCUGGUUUCAAUUGACUUUCAAAUCUGAACAAUUUUGCUUUGCUUUUUUUUUGGUUUUUUAGAGGGUCUUCUUUCUCAGAUUCCAACUUUCAAUUCUAAAUCUUCUGUCCCUGCUAAAGCCCUACUGACAACUUGUUUUGGUUAUCUUCUGUUGUUUGGCCUUUCUCUGGUUUGCUCUUUUCUGUCUUUUUUUCUUCUAGAAUUCUGCGGAAGAGUUGGUAGAGUUUGCAUCAUAAGUAUUUCCGCUGCCCAUCUUUGUCAAUUAAAUUGCUGAGAUCGAAUUAGAGGAUUCUUUUAUGCUGUUUGUGGAGUGACAUUAGUCUUUUCUCUGAACUUUGAUCUCUGUAUCUUUUUUCUUAGAACCCUUCACCCAUGAUUUUUUUUUUGUUCACCCCUGGUUAAUUUUGCAUAAUUACGAAAAUUGAAGUAGAGGGUGUAAUUUCAAACUUUUUCUAUCCCUCUGCUUCUUGUGUGGGUCAAGAUUUUCGUCUGUGUUUUGAGAUCUGAACUCCAUUUCAACUUCCCAGAUCUAUGGAGUGAAGAAUUCAAAUAUUACCGGUCUUGUCCUGCCAUACACCUCUCAAGGUAGAGAAAUAUUGUGUUUUUGUAUCUUCCAUACUGAGGUUUCUAUAAAUGAACUUGUACUAGAAAUAGUACUGUUUCGGGUUGUUCCGGCCAAAGUACUGUUAGAGGCCUUUUGACUAGAUGUAGGAUAGAUUUGAUUUGCAUAUUAAGUAAAUGGGAGUUUUAUUAUGUAAAGUUAUUGAAGAUUGAUAUGUUAUGGGCCAGCUAUUUCAUUUUAUUUUUGUAAAUUUUUCUUGUUAGUAAUUAAAUCUUUAUAAAUUACAAUUAUAAACUAUAUUAAAUCAGUAUUUUUGUUCUCUUUGUAUAAUAGUUGUUUUGAUGUGGAGUGAUUUAUUCUAAAACGAUUUUUACCUUUUGUAGUAGAAAAUAAAUCUUUUUAUUUUCAGAAAAUAUAUAUUUUUUUAAAUUGCUGGUAAAAGAAAAUAGUUGUCAUGGUGACGUAGUUAAUUGGGAUAAAGCCAAAUGUGCACAUUUACUCAAACGAGUAAUUUUCGACGAAAUUUAUAUUUCUUGCUUUUUAGCUAAAUUAGGGGUUUUCAGAAACUGAACUAGUGCCGCAACCCUUCUUUCUCUCUGCAACCUAAGACCUCUCUCUCUCUCUAGAACAGCACCAUAUCUCCCGUUCUGGAAAAUCCUUGGUCACGCAGAAGCGCAGCUGCUCAAGUUUUCGUUAUGAAUAUCAUCAAACUUUUGGAGAUGAUUGUCAGUGUCUUGAUCUGUUUGGAUUUGGAUUUCCCAGAUCAUUAUCUAUGGAUAGGAUUCAGGAAAAAUCACUGUUCCGUUCAAAGCACUUGUCCUGCUCUGUUCCUUCACAUGAACAGGGCAUCAUAGCCGCAUCUUUCUUUCCUCAGUCUUUCGCAACGCAAAAAUAUUUUCCGGAAAGUCCUUGGUCACCCAGAACCGCGCCUCAAGUUUCUGCCAUGAAUAUCAACCUUCUGUGUUUCUGCAGAUGGUCAAAAGAUUUGAUGGGGGAGUGAAUUGUAGCAGGCUUGAUCCUUGUUGAUGUAGAUUUCACGGAUCCAUGAAUAUGAAAGUGAUGCAGAGAAACUCACUGCUCUGUUUUGUGGAGAAUUCAAAGGAUUACUUCUUUCUCUGUCCUUUCCUGCAAAUGAUCGAUAAAUGGUGGAGGGAGUGAAGAAUUCAAAUAUUACCGCCUUACCGGUCAUGUCCUGCCAUACACCUCCCAAGAGGAUCAUAAGGAGCAGUAAAGCAGGGAGGCCUGGACAGGAAGUUUGUCCCCAUUUUUUAAUAUAAAAAAGGAGUCGUUGUUACAAGUUGAAGAGCUUCAUUAGGUCCGGUCUAGAUUUUCCAUGCCUCUGACUCGGUUCCCAGAGUAAAUAGAGACGUGAAAAGUUGCUGAUCUAUUCUUCCGCCUGAAUUUGAAGUUUAUAAUUAAAAUCUUUGGAUCUUUUGGCCUGACGCAAAUCACGCAAUCUGGUUAGUAGAAAUUGUUAUGUUUAAAAUCUGUCUUCCUUCUUAGAAUCCCUCGCACAAUAAUUCUUGGAGAAAAGUAAUUCUUACCUAUCUUUGUUAAUUACAUAUAACAAAGGUCGAACUUGAGGGUUUCCCUGUUAAAAAGUGAUGAGACCUUUUCAAUUUCUUUGUUUUUAAGGGUACAUUAGUUGUUCCUCUGGUUUACUGUUUCUUAUUGGCAAUUUUGGUUUUGAGAGGUAGAGGUUGCGGAAUAUAGUAGUCUUUGCAUAUUGUUAAUAUCUCCAGUUUAUUGGCUGAUUUUGAUUUGGCUUUAUUAGUUAUUUUUGGGUUCAAUUAAAUUUUAGAUCUGAUCAAAUUUGAUUUGCUGUUUUUGUUUUUGAGAGGAUCAUGAAAGCAGAGCCCUAGGGGCUUUGAUUAGGUCGGUCGCAUGCCUCUGAUUUGGUAAUAUCUUCGGUAAAAGUAAAGAGGCCGGACAACGUUGUAUUGGAUGAAUGAUUUAUAUAUAUACUUUUUCUUUCUUGAGAAGAAUGAAUGAUUUUAUACUGGCGGCACAUCUUUUAUCAGUUGAGUAACUUAUGAAGCUAAACCAAGCCUCUUUCUGUUCGACCUAGAACUGGGCAUCAUAGCCGCAUCUAUCUUCCUCAGUCUUUCGCAACAAUAACCGCAAAAAUAUUUUCCGGAAUAUCCUUGGUCCUCAAGUUCUGCCUCGAAUAUCCACCUUCUUUCCAUCUCUGUGUUUCUGCAGAUGGUCAAAAGAUUGGACGGGGGAGUGAAUUGUAGCAGGCUUGAUCCUUGUUGAUGUUGAUGUAGAUUUCACAGAUCCAUGAAUAUGAAAGUGAUUCAGAGAAACUCACUGCUCUGUUUUGUGGAGAAUUCAAAGGAUUACUUCUUUCUCUGUCCUUUCCUGCAAAUGAUCGAUAAUGGUGGAGGGAGUGAAGAAUUCAAAUAUUACCGGUCAUGUCCUGCCAUACACCUCUCAAGAGGAUCAUAAGGAGCAGGAGAGCAGGGAGGCCUGGACAGAAAGUUUGUCCCCAUUUUUUAAUGUAAAAAAGAAGUCGUAGUUACAAGUUGAAGAGCUUCAUUAGGUCCGGUCUAGAUUUUCCAUGCCUCUGACUCAGUUCCCAGAGUAGAUAGAGACGUGAAAAGUUGCUGAUCUAUUCUGUUUGUCUCUUCUCUUCCGCCUGAAUUUGAAGUUUAUAAUUAAAAUCUUUGGAUCUUUUGGCCUGACGCAAAUCACGCAAUCUGGUCGAUAUUGAUGGUGCUAGUUUAAAGAAACCUUUAACGCUCGAAGUGGAGGAUUCAAAGUAGCAAGCUUUGCAUGCCUCUCUCCCGUUGAGCAACGUGUGGUUCUUCUUUAAAGUAGACUUCUGAGCUCUUCAAAGAAUCCUACAAUGCCGAGAAUGGAGGAUUCAAGCUUUGCAUGCCUGCCCCAGUGUGCAGACCUGAGAUUCCUCUUUAUUGCACCCCUUCCAAUCCAGAUUAGAGGAUACCCUUUACUUCGAGGCUUACUCAUUACGUACAUCAGAGCCAAUUUGAAUUCCUUGCUUCUAAGCUCUGCAUGUUUUUCCUAAAUCUUUACCUCUUUAAUGAACAAGUUUUUUCGUAGUAUUCUGCUACUUCCAUAUUGUGCUUGAAGGAGCCAGUCAAAAUUUUGGGUGCAUGGGUUAAAAGAUGUAAAUAGUGGUGUUUAUCGUAACAGAAAGAGUAGUUUCACCAAAGCUUUUGACAGUCAAGUAGUGGUGUUUAUCGUAACAGAAAGAGUAGUUUCACCAAAGCUUUUGACAGUCAAGAUUCUGACACUGGCAUGGAAGAGGUUUCAAUAUCUCUCUGACUAGACAUAACAAUAUAUUGAUUGUGGCUGGGUUUCAGGAAAUAGCAGGUCGAUUAAGCUGCUUAAAUUAGUUACAAUAGAUUUUUUGGUGGAUUUGGAGAAAACUGAAACCGCCCUGACCCAGAUGUUUUUUUAUUUUUGUAUGUGUCAUUUUUGUAAUAAUUGUGUCAAUCUUGUAAUUACUGUGUCAUGGUUGAAUACAUGGGCUUGUAGUUGCCUCCUCAUUCUAUAAGGCCCAAUUAACCUAAUACCUAAUACCCUAGACUAUAAAUAGAACAGUAUCAUCUUCAACCUAGAAUCCUGGAUCAAAAGAAAAAAAGAGAAGCAGUGGAAAUGGUGGGUAACCACGGUAACCUGGGUAACAAGGGGAGGCUGGGUAAUAAGGGAGGGUUCAACACAAAGACGAAGAAGAAUGUUACGAUGCUUGUGAACCGGGACCCCAAAAAGGACAAGAAAUCGGAGGAGCAGAAGGCUCAGGAGCAAAGGGAAAAGCCGAAGAAGCUCAACGCCGGUCAGAAGGCUGUCUGGGAGGCUCUGUUCAGGACCUGAUGUGAUUUCAGAGGGCCCAAGCAUGAGGUAGUUGGUUGUUUCCAACUUUCAAUUUUAAAUUCUGCAAAUGGCAACUUUAUCGGGAUUAUAUGUUAUGUAAUUGAGUACUGAAUGUGUGGUAUGGACUUUAUCUCUUAAUUUAGUUCUGCGUUUGUUGGUC